Molecule: ribosomal RNA, 503 nt
Filed under: uncultured bacterium
Lineage: Bacteria
Description: partial 16S ribosomal RNA
Rfam family: Bacterial small subunit ribosomal RNA
Source: RNAcentral
GACGAACGCUGGCGGCGUGCUUAACACAUGCAAGUCGAACGGUGAAGCGCUUUCCUUUUUGGUUGGUGUGGAUGAGUGGCGAACGGGUGAGUAACACGUGAGCAACCUGCCCCCUUCUUCUGGAUAACCGCAUGAAAGUGUGGCUAAUACGGGAUAUUCUGCGCCUGCUGCAUGGUGGGUGUGGGAAAGAUUGUGCCUUUGGGUGUUUUCGGUGGGGGAUGGGCUCGCGGCCUAUCAGCUUGUUGGUGGGGUGAUGGCCUACCAAGGCGGUGACGGGUAGCCGGCCUGAGAGGGUGGACGGUCACACUGGGACUGAGACACGGCCCAGACUCCUACGGGAGGCAGCAGUGGGGAAUAUUGCACAAUGGGCGCAAGCCUGAUGCAGCGACGCCGCGUGAGGGAUGGAGGCCUUCGGGUUGUGAACCUCUUUCGCCAGUGAAGCAGGCCUGCUCCUUGUGGGUGGGUUGACGGUAGCUGGAUAAGAAGCGCCGGCUAACUACGUG